Pimephales promelas (fathead minnow) is the source of this 462-nucleotide non-coding RNA. The record is from the annotation of a RefSeq genome assembly. Lineage: Eukaryota; Metazoa; Chordata; Actinopteri; Cypriniformes; Leuciscidae.
AUGUCCAGCAUCUUCAGUCUGGACUCCAAUGAUGCUCAGACCGGGCCCUCCGUGUCUCCCUCCGUGUCUCUGCUGGUCUCUGGAGACUCCUCCGCUCUGCUCUGCCUGCUCAGCUCUUACUCUCCACAGGGGGCGACGGUGAGCUGGACGCUGGACGGGUCAGAGGUCACCGAGGGGAUUCAGACCAGCGCAGAGAGCGAGCGGGACGGUCUCUACAGUCGCAGCAGUGUCCUGAGCCUCAGCAAAGCACGCUGGGAAGGCGCAGGGCGCUUGGUCUGCAGAGGAACACAUGCCGGAGCUGCUCACGAGGCCUCGUUCCUCAAGAGCUCCGACUGCUGAUGUUUCUCCAGUGAAGACCAGCGGAUCUGAGCCAAGUCACGUGAUUUACAGCUCAAUACUGAAGCAGUCUGUCAAUGUGCUGCCAUUGCUGUUCAUUCAAUAAAGCUUCAUCUGAACGCCUUA